RNAcentral lists this ribosomal RNA (253 nucleotides) under uncultured bacterium. Its description in RNAcentral is "partial 16S ribosomal RNA". It matches the Rfam family "Bacterial small subunit ribosomal RNA", at positions 524 to 776 of the family's 1533-position model. The record is from RNAcentral.
UACGUAGGGGGCAAGCGUUGUCCGGAUUUACUGGGCGUAAAGGGCGCGUAGGCGGCUUGGUAAGUCGGGGGUGAAAGUCAGCGGCUCAACCGCUGGACUGCCUUCGAGACUGCCUGGCUUGAGCAUGGUAGAGGCUGGCGGAAUUCCCGGUGUAGCGGUGGAAUGCGUAGAGAUCGGGAAGAACAUCGGUGGCGAAGGCGGCCAGCUGGGCCAUUGCUGACGCUGAGGAGCGAAAGCGUGGGGAGCGAACAGG